AGCGGGAUGGUGUAACGGUAACAUGCAAGGCUCAUUACCUCGCGCUCCGGGUUCGAUUCCCGGUCCCGCAAC
Molecule: transfer RNA, 72 nt
Filed under: bioreactor metagenome
Description: tRNA-Met
Rfam family: tRNA
About the family: Transfer RNA (tRNA) molecules are approximately 80 nucleotides in length.
Source: RNAcentral